AGGGUCUACAAAGAGCAAAUAAAUACUCGGGCGUCAUGUGGUAGUGAGUGGGUUGAGCACGGUUUUCCUCUUAAAGUACAACCGGUUACGUUCCUUUAAAUAUUUAUUUUUUAGGUGACUGGGCAAAGUU
Molecule: non-coding RNA, 130 nt
Organism: Caenorhabditis elegans
Lineage: Eukaryota; Metazoa; Nematoda; Chromadorea; Rhabditida; Rhabditidae
Source: Ensembl